Molecule: ribosomal RNA, 253 nt
Filed under: uncultured bacterium
Lineage: Bacteria
Description: partial 16S ribosomal RNA
Rfam family: Bacterial small subunit ribosomal RNA
Source: RNAcentral
UACGUAGGAGGCAAGCGUUGUCCGGAUUUAUUGGGCGUAAAGAGCGUGUAGGCGGCUUGGUAGGUCCGCUGUGAAAACUCGAGGCUCAACCUCGAGAUGUCGGCGGAAACCACUUGGCUAGAGUCCGGAAGAGGAGAGUGGAAUUCCUGGUGUAGCGGUGAAAUGCGCAGAUAUCAGGAAGAACACCUAUGGCGAAGGCAGCUCUCUGGGACGGUACUGACGCUGAGACGCGAAAGCGUGGGGAGCGAACAGG